CAGAGUUCGUGCCCUCACGGGUAGAUCUCCCACCCUGUGUUAUUAUACCUUUGUUGCUUUGGCGGGCCGCCCUCGGCUACCGGCCCCGGCUGGUACGCGCCCGCCGAAGACACCCUCGAACUCUGUCUGAAGAUUGUAGUCUGAGUGAAAAUAUAAAUUAUUUA
This 164-nucleotide unclassified non-coding RNA is filed under the name uncultured Dermateaceae. RNAcentral's name for it is "sequence contains ITS1". Lineage: Eukaryota; Fungi; Ascomycota; Leotiomycetes; Helotiales; Dermateaceae. The record is from RNAcentral.